RNAcentral lists this long non-coding RNA (781 nucleotides) under Camelus dromedarius (Arabian camel). RNAcentral describes it as "lncRNA (ENSCDRG00005018144.1)". Lineage: Eukaryota; Metazoa; Chordata; Mammalia; Artiodactyla; Camelidae. The record is from RNAcentral.
CCGGGCUUCUGUGGUCCACCUGGCCCCACAGAGAAAGCAAUGCACAAAGCCUCCAGUGUCCGGGCCGAGCUGCUGAGAGGCCGGCGGAGUUCCCUUGCGUGGGUUGAGGCCCAUUUCCUGGGAGGAGAGAAGCUCAGUAGCAGGCCACGCAGGAGCUGGUGUCCACACAAGGCACACUGCCAGGCUUCGACGGCACCCUCUUCACCCCCAGCAGUUCUGGGCACCCGUGUACCCACAAGAACACUUACGCACAUCAGCUAAGAGAGUGCACCUGCUGACCUAAAGCUCCCAGCCGGAGCCUCGGAGGGUGCGAGACAGACAGCGGUAGACAGCUCUGCAGGCGGGUGGCAGGGGCUUACUUGUAGCUGGACUGCAGGUGCUCCCACCCACGUACUUAAUCCUGCCACCUCGCCUCACGUCCCCACACUGCCCCAGGAUCACCCAGCCAGGCCACGGGCGGAAGGGACGCAGACCUCAGAAGGGGAUCAUCCACCUCAGACCAAGGCCUGGGGAAACUUGUGACCAGCCCUAGAGUCAGGGGGGGUUUGUAUGGUGCUGGUUUUAGCAGAUCCCUGGUCAAACCUUGAUUCCUGAAGGAGGGUGAGCGGUGGGGAAGGUGGGGGCUCCCCCCUUACCCUCCACUUGGGCUCCCAAACCUGCCAAGCAGGUUGUUCCUUUUUCUGCAACAAGGGAAAGGAACGGGCAAAGGGAGGCCUGGGGGUCAUAGAGAGGCCCAGAGGGGCUGGGACGGUGCCUUGAGUUGGCUUCUGUUCCCCUCCCU